UAGCUGCUGCAUAGGACCAAAGAGAGAAUCCUCUUCCUGCCAACAUUUUCAUCUUUCUUGUUGAAGCACCAAAGAAGAGCUAUGUGCCCCCAGCCCCUUAGUACUCCUAGAGGCAAGUGCCUUUCACUAUUUCUAUCUGUCAGCUUUUUGUGGAGUUGGGACAAAAUUCAAGUGACAAGGCCAAGGCUACGGCCAUGACCAAUAUAGCUGUGGCCAAUACCAGUUCUCUCAGUCCAAUGGUCUCCACCUUCCCAAUAAUAGGGUGUCCAAGCAGUUAUUGUGUGGUUUUCUGGGAUCUUCUCUGGGGAUGAGCUACAAACUCCAAGAGCCUGCCCAGAUAAUCCUCCAUACUCUGACAUACCCAAUUUUCAAGUGAUUUUAUAGUACGGUGACUCCUACAUCCUUUCGUGUAAAUAUUAUCCAUAACGGUUCUAUGUUAUUUAGUAUUUGCCAUGAUUGAGAGAUGCUCAGCCCUACAUAAAUUUAUAGUACAGUUAAUAUUUAUAUUAAUAAAAAAUAAUCUUUUAUUCAUAUUAACUAAAAAAGAGGGGGUGUUGUAAUUUCAGAGUGUUUACAAAGCCUAGCUCUUAAAUAUCAACACACUCAACCAUUCUCAUGAGAUUCUCUAAAAUCCUUUUAACAGUUUAAACAGGCACUCAAGAGCCACAGCUUCUUGGUUCUGGAUUAUUGCGCCUCUCAAACUAUCUCAGCAAGAUAAAUCAUCCCAAGGAUUGAACUGUAUCCUGCCCCAAAUUCAUAUGUUGAAGCCCUAAGUCCCAAUGUGACUGUAUUUGGAGAGAAGACUUUUAGGAGGUAAUUAGGUUCAAUGAGGUCAUAAAAGUGGGACCCUGAUCUGAUGGAAUUAUUGUCCUUCUAAAAGGACAUACCACAUAGCCCAUCAUCUCUUUCUCCUUUCCUUCCUCCCCACCUCUUCCUCUCCCUCUCUCCCUGUCUCCCUCACUGUCCAUGCACCACAGAGAAAAAGCCAUAUGAGGACACAACCAGAAGGCAGCUGUCUAUAAACCAGGAAGAGAGCUCUCACCAGAAACCAACUCUGCUGGACUUCUAGACCCUAAAACUGUGAGAAAAUACACUUCUGAUAUUUAAGCCACACAGUCUAUGGUAUUUUGUUAUGACAGCCUUGGCAAAAAAUAUAAGCCCCAUCACAAUGGAUCCAGGGAUUGAUUCAAUCAGGCUAGUUUCUUCCAUCAGAGGAGCAAAAUCAGAAAAUCACAUUCCAAUCUGCUUUAAUGAAUAGCUAAGAGAAAUGACCUAAGGGCUCAAGAGAGGUAGCAUGGGGGAGGUGGGGGUACAAAAGUCAUUUAAUGUAAUGCUCUAAUCAGAGGCAGCAUAGAAAAGCAGAGAUUACUCUACUAGGUAUUAAUCCAAAGGAUGCAAAAAUAGUGAUUAGAAGGGACACAUAUACCCCAAUGUUUAUGGCAGCACUAUCCACAAUAGCCACAACAUGGAAAGAUCUCAAAUGUCCAUCAGCUGAUGAGUAGAUAAAGAAUAUAUGAUGUAUACAUAUAUAUACAUACAC
Molecule: long non-coding RNA, 1540 nt
Filed under: Canis lupus familiaris (dog)
Lineage: Eukaryota; Metazoa; Chordata; Mammalia; Carnivora; Canidae
Description: lncRNA (ENSCAFG00000052892.1)
Source: RNAcentral